AGUCGAGCGAGGUAGCAAUACCUAGCGGCAGACGGGUGAGUAACAUGUGGGAAUCUGCCUUUUGGUUCGGAACAACACGGGGAAACCUGUGCUAAUACCGGAUAAGUCCUAACGGAGAAAGUUUUAAUGCCAAAAGAUGAGCCCGCAUUUGAUUAGCUAGUUGGUAAGGUAAAAGCUUACCAAGGCGACAAUCAAUAGCUGAUUUGAGAGGAUGAGCAGCCACACUGGGACUGAGAUAAGGAAAAGAAUCC
Molecule: ribosomal RNA, 251 nt
Filed under: uncultured bacterium
Lineage: Bacteria
Description: partial 16S ribosomal RNA
Rfam family: Bacterial small subunit ribosomal RNA
Source: RNAcentral